GGAGGCAGCAGUGGGGAAUAUUGCACAAUGGGCGCAAGCCUGAUGCAGCCAUGCCGCGUGUAUGAAGAAGGCCUUCGGGUUGUAAAGUACUUUCAGCGGGGAGGAAGGGAGUAAAGUUAAUACCUUUACUUAUUGACGUUACCCGCAGAAGAAGCACCGGCUAACUCCGUGCCAGCAGCCGCGGUAAUACGGAGGGUGCAAGCGUUAAUCGGAAUUACUGGGCGUAAAGCGCACGCAGGCGGUUUGUUAAGUCAGAUG
RNAcentral lists this ribosomal RNA (258 nucleotides) under Escherichia coli. RNAcentral describes it as "partial 16S ribosomal RNA". It matches the Rfam family "Bacterial small subunit ribosomal RNA", at positions 344 to 594 of the family's 1533-position model. Lineage: Bacteria; Pseudomonadati; Pseudomonadota; Gammaproteobacteria; Enterobacterales; Enterobacteriaceae. The record is from RNAcentral.